UGGGGAAUAUUGCACAAUGGAGGGAACUCUGAUGCAGCGACGCCGCGUGAACGAAGAAGGCUUUCGAGUCGUAAAGUUCUUUUAUAUGGGAAGAUAAUGACGGUACCAUAAGAAAAAGCCCCGGCUAACUACGUGCCAGCAGCCGCGGUAAUACGUAGGGGGCUAGCGUUGUCCGGAAUCACUGGGCGUAAAGGGUUCGCAGGCGGAAAUGCAAGUCAGGUGUAAAAGGCAGUAGCUUAACUACUGUAAGCAUUUGAAACUGCAUAUCUUGAGAAGAGUAGAGGUAAGUGGAAUUUUUAGUGUAGCGGUGAAAUGCGUAGAUAUUAAAAAGAAUACCGGUGGCGAAGGCGACUUACUGGGCUCAUUCUGACGCUGAGGAGCGAAAGCGUGGGGAGCGAACAGG
This 403-nucleotide ribosomal RNA is filed under the name Fusobacteriota bacterium. RNAcentral's name for it is "Fusobacteria bacterium partial 16S ribosomal RNA". It matches the Rfam family "Bacterial small subunit ribosomal RNA", at positions 355 to 776 of the family's 1533-position model. The record is from RNAcentral. Lineage: Bacteria; Fusobacteriati; Fusobacteriota.